CUGGAUCCGAAGGCUACUCAUUCAAAUAUAUAAGCUCCGUAUCAGAGUUCACAGACCUGAUUACAAUUGUUAAGAAAAAUACCCCUUACAUUAUACAGCAAACACCAACUGACUUAAAGAACCCAAGCAACAUAAAAAAAAAAUGUACUCAAACUAUUCCUGAUACCAGCAUAACCUGUUUACAUAUUUAUCCCAGCAACUUUUAAUCUCCGCAUUCAAAAGUCAUCCAAAACGCCCAAACCUAGCUUUAGCUGGGAGCUUAUACAAAAAAUCCGUAGAGCUCCGCUUCCCUCCGAUCUUCGUUUCCAAGCGUUGCCGCUACGGUCUUCCUGCAAAAUAACAGCCAGUUCAUAUGAAUAACUUCAUUAGCUCCCCAAGUACAAUCUGUUUGAUGAGCCAUAUUGGCAAGGAGAUCAGAAGCUCUAUUUGCUUCCCUAAAAAUAUGAGAUGUGAAAAAUACAUGACCUAAGUUUCCAAUACAAUACAUCAAUUAACAUUGGCGGACCCUGAGUAUCUCCCACCUUACAGUUAGCAAUAUCAGAAAUAACAGCCAGAGAGUCUCCUUCCAGGCAAAUAAGAUAGCUUUUAAUUCCACUACAGCUACCUACCNN
RNAcentral lists this long non-coding RNA (611 nucleotides) under Elaeis guineensis (African oil palm). RNAcentral's name for it is "long non-coding RNA (EGUI_LNC011245)". Lineage: Eukaryota; Viridiplantae; Streptophyta; Magnoliopsida; Arecales; Arecaceae. The record is from RNAcentral.